RNAcentral lists this ribosomal RNA (397 nucleotides) under uncultured bacterium. RNAcentral describes it as "bacterial SSU rRNA". It matches the Rfam family "Bacterial small subunit ribosomal RNA", at positions 106 to 499 of the family's 1533-position model. The record is from RNAcentral.
GUGAGUAACAUAUCGGAACGUACCAAGUCGUGGGGGAUAACUAUCCGAAAGGAUAGCUAAUACCGCAUACGUCCUGAGGGAGAAAGCGGGGGACCGCAAGGCCUCGCGCGAUUGGAGCGGCCGAUAUCGGAUUAGCUAGUUGGUGAGGUAAAGGCUCACCAAGGCGACGAUCCGUAGCUGGCCUGAGAGGACGACCAGCCACACUGGAACUGAGACACGGUCCAGACUCCUACGGGAGGCAGCAGUGGGGAAUUUUGGACAAUGGGGGCAACCCUGAUCCAGCCAUUCCGCGUGAGUGAAGAAGGCCUUCGGGUUGUAAAGCUCUUUCAGCAGGAACGAAACGGUGGUCCCUAAUACGGACUACUAAUGACGGUACCUGAAGAAGAAGCACCGGCUA